Molecule: ribosomal RNA, 1407 nt
Filed under: Harmonia axyridis
Lineage: Eukaryota; Metazoa; Arthropoda; Insecta; Coleoptera; Coccinellidae
Description: 16S ribosomal RNA
Rfam family: Archaeal large subunit ribosomal RNA (bases 1167-1325)
Source: RNAcentral
AUUUUAAAAUUUAUUUAAUUAAUAUAUAUAUAUAUAUAUAUAUAUAUAUAUAUAUAUAUAUAAUUUUAUUAAAUAAUUAGUAUUUUUAUUAGAUUAAGAAAAAUUUUAUUUUAUGAUAGAUUAAUAGUACUGAAAAGGAAAAUUAUAUAAAUUUAUAAAAGAAACAAUAUUGUGUACCUUGUGUAUCAGGGUUUAUUAAAAAUUUAAUAUUUAUAUAUUUAUCUCGAAUUUAAAAGAGCUAUAUAGUUAUAAAUAUUAUUGUUUAAUAAAUAUUUAUAAUAAUUAUAUAGUAAUGAAAUGUUAUUCGUUUUUAAAUAUAUCUAGUUUUUUAAGAAAAGAAUUUAAUUCAUUAUAAAAAUUAUAAAAAUUUAAUUUUUAAUUUUUUGAAUUUUUAUUUUAAUAGUUUUAGGGAUAAGCUUGAAAUUAAAUUAUUAUAAUUAAAUAUUAUAAAUUAAUAAUUUAUAGAAUUAGAAAUUUUUACUAUUUGAAGUUUGUUAAAAUUUGUUAUUUAAUUAAAAAUAUUUAUAUAUUAAUUUAAUUUUUUAAAUUAAUAAUUUAUAGAAUUAGAAAUUUUUACUAUUUGAAGUUUGUUAAAAUUUGUUAUUUAAUUAAAAAUAUUUAUAUAUUAAUUUAAUUUUUUUAUUAAAGUAAAUUUAAUAAUAAAAAUUAUAUUGAAAUAAUGAUAAAAUUAGUAUUAAUUAUUUUGUAAAAAUAUAAGUAAUUACGAAAGGUAUAAUUAAGUAAUUAGGCAAAAAUAUCUUUCACCUGUUUAAUAAAAACAUCUCUUUUUGAUUAUAAUUUAAAGUAGGACCUGCCCACUGAAUAAAAUUUGAAGGGCCGCAGUAUUUUGACUGUGCAAAGGUAGCAUAAUCAUUAGUUUUUUAAUUGAAAGCUUGUAUGAAUGGUUUGAUGAGAAGAUAACUUUCUAAAUUUUAUUAUUUAAAAAUUUUAUUUUUAAGUUAAAAAGCUUAAAUUUUUUUAAAAGACGAGAAGACCCUAUAGAGUUUAAUUUAUAAAAGAUUUUUAAUUUAAAGAAUUAUAAAAUUUAAAAUUUUUAUUAAAUUUGAUUGGGGUGAUAAAAAAAUUAGAUUAACUUUUUUAACUUUAACCAUUAAUUUAUGAAAAAUUGAUCCAUUUUUAUGAUUAAAAGAAUAAAUUACCUUAGGGAUAACAGCGUUAUUUUUUUUUAGAGUUCAAAUCGAAAGAAAAGAUUGCGACCUCGAUGUUGGAUUAAAGUUAAAUUUAGGUGUAGAAGCUUAAAUAUUUGGUCUGUUCGACCAUUAAAACUUUACAUGAUCUGAGUUUAAACCGGUGUAAGCCAGGUUGGUUUCUAUCUUUAAUAAUUUAAUAAAUUUUAGUACGAAAGGACCAAGUUUAUGAUUUAAAAUUUUAUAAAUGAAUAAAAUU